ACGCUGGCGGCGUGCUUAACACAUGCAAGUCGAACGCGAAAGGGACUUCGGUCCUGAGUAGAGUGGCGCACGGGUGAGUAACGCGUAAGUGAUCUACCCCUGUAUUUGGGAUAACUAUGGGAAACUGUAGCUAAUACCGGAUACGUUCAUGUAGUUGCGAUUAUAUGAAGAAAGAUGGCCUCUGAUUCAAGCUAUUGUACAGGGAGGAGCUUGCGUACCAUUAGCUAGUUGGUAGGGUAAUGGCCUACCAAGGCAACGAUGGUUAGCGGGUCUGAGAGGAUGAUCCGCCACACUGGAACUGAAACACGGACCAGACUCCUACGGGAGGCAGCAGUGAGGAAUAUUGCGCAAUGGGGGCAACCCUGACGCAGCGACGCCGCGUGGAUGAUGAAGGCCUUCGAGUCGUAAAAUCCUGUCAGAUGGGAAGAAGUGCAUGGUGGUUAAUACCCGCCAUGUUUGACGGUACCAUCAGAGGAAGCACCGGCUAACUCCGUGCCAGCAGCCGCGGUAAUACGGAGGGUGCAAGCGUUGUUCGGAAUUACUGGGCGUAAAGCGCGCGUAGGCGGUUUGUUAAGUCAGAUGUGAAAGCCCAGGGCUUAACCUUGGACGUGCAUUUGAAACUGGCAGACUUGAGUAUCGGAGGGGGUGGUGGAAUUCCCGGUGUAGAGGUGAAAUUCGUAGAUAUCGGGAGGAAUACCGGUGGCGAAGGCGACCACCUGGCCAAAUACUGACGCUGAGGUGCGAAAGCGUGGGGAGCAAACAGGAUUAGAUACCCUGGUAGUCCACGCCGUAAACGAUGAGAACUAGGUGUUGGGACGGUUGAUCGUCU
This 829-nucleotide ribosomal RNA is filed under the name uncultured bacterium. RNAcentral's name for it is "bacterial SSU rRNA". It matches the Rfam family "Bacterial small subunit ribosomal RNA", at positions 33 to 840 of the family's 1533-position model. The record is from RNAcentral.